This is a non-coding RNA of Manis javanica (Malayan pangolin), 4020 nucleotides long. The record is from RefSeq and is a predicted model, not a curated record. NCBI's taxonomy places the organism in Eukaryota, Metazoa, Chordata, Mammalia, Pholidota, Manidae.
GAAAUAAUCUUUUGUUAUCUAGCCCUUCACGUAGAAGGGCAAUAAGCCCCACAUGGCACUGCCAUCUUUCCCAACCCCCCAAAAGGAUGGAAAAUUCCAAGGCAGUUUCCUUAGCAGGAACCAUGAAGCAGGUUAUAACUAUUAGCAGCAAUCGCUAGGCUAUAUACCCUUGGAGCGCUAAGGAACGGACAGGCAGUCAGAAUUCCCUGCUUUAAAUCUCCCCUCAAGGUUGCAAAGAGGAGAGAUUCUUCCAUUCACAUAGGCGACCAGUGAGAAAAGGUCACUUAAGAUCAGAACACACGGGGCUAAUAAAUAAAAAGCAUGAGGUUGUGUGCUUCACGCUGCUCCGGGGACACAUGCACAGGGCAGGCACGAUGCUGCUGACAGAAAGUCAAAGGGGCAGCGCCCAAACGGGUGCCCCAGUUUAAAGUGGGAUCUCCGUGAAAGUUCUUCUGGAAUUCAGAGGCACGGCAGGCAGUCCUACUCCCUCUGAGCUCACAGAUUAGGAGCUCUCCCCAGCUGCCGAGCGUGCCUGGCCCCUAACCUUAUUAGGCAACUGGCAGAGAAUAAUCUGUAAGUGCUCACACUGCCUCAGCCGCCACACUCAGACGCCAGGGAGCUGCCGCCUCUCGUCAGGAUUCGUCAUUCAGCUCAGGGCAUUCUGGGUAAGGUGAGCUCUCAUUUCUCCUUUCUAGCACUUUGCCAGCUUACGGGAUGGUAAGAUGGAAGAGUGAACUCUUUUGUCCCUUCCUGCAGGGUCAAGAGGUCGUACUACUUUACAUGAUACGAAAUCAAAUCAGCUCCGUCAUCCCCCAGGUGAUGAGGGGGAGGCAGACGCCUCCUGCUGCCAGACAUCCUGGAGGAACAAGCCACCCCCAGUUCCUGAGAACCCAACCUGCAGUUGGGCAGGUGUAAAGCUAGAUCCACAGCUACCCGGGGGCAGACAAGACCCCUCCCGCCCCUGAGCCGUGCACAUGGGGGGUACGCCCCACCCACCAUGUGUACACCCGCAGCCGGCGUGCACUUGGCUGUGGACUGGCCUGACACUCGGCGCAUCCACGCCCAUGCGGAGAUCCCAGGCCUGGGGAUGCCACCUUCUUCCGCUCACGUCCUUGGCUUUGUGACCACAGUGACUUUGGCGCGGCACAGAGAGAUUCUGCCUUGCCCCUCUCUCCUGUCUCCAGCAGGGGCGUUUCUGAGCCAUCACCUACAGUUCCUUAAGCUUCACUCUUUCUCAGGCACUCCCAUGCUUCCAAGAGGGCCGUGCCCUGUCAAGAAAGCUGGCAGACACCUGGGCAUGACCGGCUGCCCUGUGUGAAACAUCCCCGGCUGGCCCUUCUCUCUGAAGCUCUGAAUCCCGCACAGAAGCUGCUCUGCCCCCUCCCCAUCACAGGUCACAUUGCCAGGACCGGGAUUCCAGCCCACCCCUGCCAGUUCCUGCUGCUCAGGCCAUCCCCUCCUCCUCAUCGAGGUCCCAGGUGCCUCUUUCCCUCCCAGGCCUGCCCGGGCUGAAGCGCUCUUCCCACGCCUGCUGGUUUGCAGAGGCAGCCCUGGGCACCCCUCUCCAUCAGUCUCCUGAGGUCCUUUGGGGGCAAGUGCAAAGAAGGUCAGGGGCAGAGCAUGUCGGCCUAAGCUCAGGCUGUGGGCAGCACCCACCGUCAUCACCACCGCACAGCCACGCCCAUGCCAGGAAGCCGAGUGAGAGCUGGAGCACCAACACGCAGCUCGGCACAGACCACAGGAAGGCAUGCUGUGGCCUGUGGUCCUGGUCCUGGACCUGGAACCUGGUGCUAACUCUCAGGUAACCCCUAGGACCUGGGUUCUGGUGGGUAUUCCCUUCCUGAAGAGAGAGCAUCCCUUCCUGGCCAGGGGGUGGCAGAGAUGGGGUGCCCUUGCUUAUCCUUCAUCUCCCUGAGUCUGCUGCCCUAAGAGUGCCUUUAAUUCAGCAGCAGAACUAUAGAGCCAGAAUCAAAGCACCCAUCUGGAGAAAAUGUGUCAUGCUUGACCCCAAAGAUCCUGAAUUCCUUCCUCUUCCCCAGAGCCACCUGGUACUUCUGGGUCAAACUAAGCCUACGCACGCCCGGGACCCAGUCACCUACUCCUGGGUGCAUCUCCCAGAGAAAUUCCCGUAUAGGUUUGGAAGGGGCAUGUGCAAGGGGUUCACUGGGACAUUAUCAGUGGUGGCAAGGAGCUGAAGGCGACCUGGGGUUCUCUCCCCCGGUGAUGGAGGUAAAAUGUGUGAGCUGGAUAACAGGGGAUGUUAUGUGACACAGAAACCCAGAUCAGACGCACACACGACAAUAGUGGUGAUCCGAGGAACAGUGGUUAAUGGGAGGGAGGAAGGUGCUUUAACAGCUUUACACAAGUUAAAAUCUCAUGAUCUAAAGCAAUUCUAUACGUUUUAAGGGACAUACUUAAAUAAAAAGAUACACAUUAGCACCUGAGAAUGAUGCUGACAGGCAGGGAAAGGAACAGACGUGGGAUGUGGGGAAACGGUGAGCACAGGAAGGGCCUUAGGUGGACUGAUGAUACCAGUGGGCGUGAACUCAUAGCAUGACCUGCUCAGUACUCCACACGGGAGAUCCGGGAAACAAAAUAAAACAUAGAUGCUGGAACCUUCAGUGGAACCCCCUACAGAGGCCAUACUGUCCAGGAUAUGCUGUGGGAAUGACAACAAAGCUUAUCAGUUUGGCCAGAUGCCUUCAGGGGGUGGGGAGAGGUAGGGCCCCCGCAUAGCACAAACUUUCUCCAAACAGUGACACCAAGAAGUGACCUAUAGGAUUGAGAGUCCAUUUCUGAUCAUCUGGCUUAUUGAGAUCCAGCCCAUGUCAGAGACCCCAAGAAGCAUCAAGUUGGAGACACAAGGCUUCAUGGCAUGGGUGGGGAAACUGAGACAGGAAUGUGCCACAGAGGGUAAUGUCACUCCCUGGCUGCAUUCUAAAAUAGCAUCACUACAUCAAGAUGAAAAGGGCAGUCCUUCAGGCCCAGAACCAUGGAGGAUGCACCCUCUUUCAAUAAUCUGAGUCAUACUGACCUGGGUCAUCUCUGUGGCCUCCUAUGACUCAUGGGGUGGGGGCAGCGUUCAUAGCGAGCUAGAGCUCAAAAAGCUGUAGAGGAUGAAACAGCAGUGCCAACCACUCCCUCCAACUGGUUAAGGAGGACAAGAGCCAGUUUCAGGGGGGAGCAACGAUGCCGUUCAGGUCUGUUGUUUAGGAAAGCAGUGCUGGCAGCCUCCGCCAGUCCCUCUCACCUGAUCAUGUGAAUGCUCAGGAUAUGGGUCAUCAAGGGCUUCUGCUUCUCACCGAGUGGGAAGCAGCACCUCGGAGCUGGGACGGGAGGCUGCCUGGCAGCAGAGAGGACGCAGACCUCGGGCAGUUGAGUGUCCAGGAGGUAUACCCUCUCAGACAACAGAGCUUGCCUUUCUCGGGGCUGCUUUCUGUGGUUUUUCCACAUUUUGGUUCCAUGGGAACAAAGGGGCUUUUUAGCAGCUGGACUGGAUCUUGCAUUAUUUUUAGAAACAACUUCCAGCAGAAACAUGCCACGCUGGUGGAGAGAGAGGAGCGCCACUCUGCCUUGGCUACUGGGUCAGGAUCUUGCUGCUCCUGGGCCGCAGGCUCUGGUGGAGUCCUCAUGGGUGAAAGGCGAGCUGUCUGGCCUCAGACUGAGAAGGCUACCUCUCGCCCCCACCAGGGGGUAGGCUGUGGGCAGUGCUCUGUCCCCAGCUCAGCAGGAGAGGAAGCAAACUGACAGCCCUGUGUGACCCAGACACUAGUCAGAGUACCACACAGCGGAACAGCAUCACGCCUGGCCGACGCCCCAUCACCGCCCUGCACUCCAUGCGGUCUCACUGGUGCAGAGAGCAGGCCCUUUACUCUGUUCCAGCCUCCUUUCAGCCCAUCUCCUGAAGUCCUAGGCAAACAGGCAAGAGCAGCCUGCUGAGAAGACGGUGCUUAUUAUGGAAGAGAACUGGGACCCCUCCCUCACAAUCUGUCCCCUUGCUACCCAGUGUCACCCCUCCUU